This is a long non-coding RNA of Anthonomus grandis grandis, 908 nucleotides long. RefSeq lists it as uncharacterized. The transcript has 3 exons. The record is from RefSeq and is a predicted model, not a curated record. Lineage: Eukaryota; Metazoa; Arthropoda; Insecta; Coleoptera; Curculionidae.
CACGGAAGAAGAUAUUCCAUCUUUUUUGAAAAGUUCAUAACGUUGUUGCCUUUGCAGCAUUACCGCUCUCUCUCUUUUCUUGUCGUCGCAAUGCAUCACGAUGACAAUCUCUCAAUUUUCUCCAAAUUUCUUUUACUUCAUGACCUAAAAAUAAUAAUAUUACUUUAUUUAUAUUUUUUAGGUAUUUGGCUACAGGAAAUACAUUUAGAACUAUUGCCUUUUCUUAUAGGCUAGGAGAAAGGACUGUAUCAAAAAUAGUUAAUGAAGUUUGUAAAGUACUAUGGACAUGCUUGCAGCCGCAAUAUAUGCCCCAUCCCACAACGAAUACUUGGGUGACAAUUGCAGUUUUAUAACUGCAUAGGUACUAUAGACGGUAAACAUGUAACAAUAAAAAAACCAGGUCAAAGCGGAUCUUCAUUUUUUAAUUACAAGCCGUACUGCUCAAUCGUCCUAAUGGCCACUGUAGAUGCAUAUUAUCGAUUCACUACUACUGAGGGGUUGAAGCUUUUCCUUUGAAAACUGAAUUUGAUGCGACCAUUUCCAAAAGCUCAGGUUACCAACAAUUAAAGAAAUAAAGUGUUUAAUUACAAAUUAUCUCGAGCUCGACAAACUGUGGAAUGCGCCUUUGGAAUACUGGCAGCCAGAUUUCGGGUAUAUCGAACAAAUUGGAAACCGUGGAUGAUUGUCAAAGCAACAUGCGUUCUUCACAUUUUUCUCUGCGGGUAUACAAACUAUAUUUGUGAAGAAGAAAUAAUACGCAGCUCUCUGAUUCGCAGUUACUUCCCAUUUGGCCAAAUAGAAUACGAAGUGAAUGCCAAUGGUAAGAAGCUUGGCCUUCUGGAGAAAAUGGAAAUUAUAAAAGCUAAAAAGAGUCCUGUUCUCGUGUGUAUGAAUGACGUGUUUACUUU